This 419-nucleotide ribosomal RNA is filed under the name uncultured bacterium. RNAcentral's name for it is "bacterial SSU rRNA". It matches the Rfam family "Bacterial small subunit ribosomal RNA", at positions 335 to 769 of the family's 1533-position model. The record is from RNAcentral.
ACUCCUACGGGAGGCAGCAGGUGGGGAAUCUUAGACAAUGGGGGAAACCCUGAUCUAGCCAUGCCGCGUGAGUGAUGAAGGCCCUAGGGUCGUAAAGCUCUUUCAGCUGUGAAGAUAAUGACGGUAGCAAGCAGAAGAAACCCCGGCUAACUCCGUGCCAGCAGCCGCGGUAAUACGGAGGGGUUAGCGUUGUUCGGAAUUACUGGGCGUAAAGCGCGCGUAGGCGGAUUAGUCAGUCAGAGGUGAAAUCCCGGGGCUCAACCCCGGAACUGCCUUUGAUACUGCUAGUCUUGAGUUCGAGAGAGGUGAGUGGAAUUCCGAGUGUAGAGGUGAAAUUCGUAGAUAUUCGGAGGAACACCAGUGGCGAAGGCGGCUCACUGGCUCGAUACUGACGCUGAGGUGCGAAAGUGCUGGGGAGC